This 1279-nucleotide long non-coding RNA is filed under the name Panax ginseng (ginseng). RNAcentral describes it as "long non-coding RNA (PGIN_LNC010379)". The record is from RNAcentral. Lineage: Eukaryota; Viridiplantae; Streptophyta; Magnoliopsida; Apiales; Araliaceae.
UAAGUGUAUAAUUGUUUACAUAUAGAAUUAGAAGUAAUUCUAUCAUUUUUAAACAUUCCCACAAGUGCAUAAUUAUUUACAUAUUAAAUUAGAAGCAAUUCCUAAUAAGUUUUGUUACUCAUACCAAGAUGGUUGCAUUCCAUCAAGGUAAAGUAAGUAUCCAUUAUAGAAACAAGAUGAAAAUGGUGGCGGAUAUGAAAUUUUAACAAGAUGAUAUAUUACCCAAUAGAAACAAUUUGGGACAUCGAUAUUUGAAACCUUACAUUACAGCACCAAAACCCAGUAAAGUAGUCAUCUAGGAACCACUUACUGGGUAAGAAAUAUUCAGAUACACACUAGAGAUGCCAAGAACCAUUACUAAACAAAGUUUGUGAUAAUCUACAUCCUUCUUCAAAUCAUAAUCCUCCCUUUAUUUUGCACAGUUUUAAUACUAUUAGCUAAUAUCUUUAUAGCUUGUGAGGAUGCAGAUGUGGCGUUGCCCCUUUAAUAAAUCUUAUCUAGCAUUUAGAAAUGGCAGUUUCAACCAUUCCCGCAAUAACUUGAUCUGCUCCAAACCAAACUGGAUUGGAUUUUGACCUUUAACAAGAACUUAAAUGGAGAUGGGGAGAACCAAAAAUUAAUAAACUGAAUAGGCUUAUCCAUCACUUACUGAAUUGGCAAUUUAUUUUUUUGAGGGCUUCCUAAAGUCAGCAGCUCGUUGAAUAAAAACCAUGUUUUCCAUAUUGCAUAUACUUUAUCGGAGAUGAACAUAUAAAAGCAAACAGGAAACAAUUAAAGAUCAGAGACAUUGAAUCAAAACACUGAUAUUCUGUACUACAUAAUAAACAGGUAUUUCCGUAUCAACAGAUCAUGCAAUAUCAUAAAUAAAAGGCCAUUCUACAUAACCAAUUUAACAAUUAAUAUAUAUCAAGAAGUAGAUCCGUUCGAUAAAAUAUUGUAAGUUGAAUUUUCUAUCCGAAUUAUAAUGAAAGAAUAUGUUUUUAGUAGUAAAGUAGAGAGAAAUUAAAAAAAAAAAUCUACCUUCAAAAGAUUACGCGGAGGAGCAACUGUAUAAAUUUUGGCAGACGAUUCAAGUGCUUACCAAACCCUAAUUUGCUUAGAAUUUGGUCCAAUUCUGUUUCAGCGCCACCGAUAUUGAGGGAACCAAGAGACGGGAAAGCGAUAGCUAAUCUUAGUUGUCCCAGCAGGCAGCACCAGACAAAAGGAUAUAAAUAAAGGUGAGUUACAGUUACCUCCCUCUAGGUUAGAACUUAUUACACAUAGAACCCUUCUUCUUUGU